AAGUCGUAACAAGGUUUCCGUAGGUGAACCUGCGGAAGGAUCAUUAUUGAAAUAAAACUGAUGAGUUGCUGCUGGUUCUCUAGAGAACAUGUGCACGCUUGUCAUCUUUAUAUUUCCACCUGUGCACCUUUUGUAGACUUGGAUAUCUUUCUGAAUGCAUUUUCAGGUUUGAGGAUUGAUUUGCUUGUCUGUCCUUACAUUUCCAGGUCUAUGUUUAUUCAAGUACACCCUAAUUAUGUUAUAGAAUGUAAUAAAGUGAGCCUUUAGCGCUUAUAAACCUUUAUACAACUUUCAGCAACGGAUCUCUUGGCUCUC
This 315-nucleotide unclassified non-coding RNA is filed under the name air metagenome. Its description in RNAcentral is "partial contains small subunit ribosomal RNA, internal transcribed spacer 1, and 5.8S ribosomal RNA". The stretch from base 1 to 46 matches the Rfam family "Eukaryotic small subunit ribosomal RNA", at positions 1786 to 1831 of the family's 1831-position model. The record is from RNAcentral.